This 125-nucleotide small RNA is filed under the name Marmota monax (woodchuck). Lineage: Eukaryota; Metazoa; Chordata; Mammalia; Rodentia; Sciuridae. The record is from RNAcentral.
GCUGGGCAUGGUGGUACAUGCCUGUAAUCUCAGUGGCUUGGGAGGCCGAGGCAGGAGGAUCGCGAGUUCAAAGCCAGGCUCAGCAAUGUUGAGGUGCUAAGAAACUCAGUGAGAGCCUGUCUCUA